RNAcentral lists this ribosomal RNA (1128 nucleotides) under bacterium IARFR2251. RNAcentral describes it as "bacterial SSU rRNA". It matches the Rfam family "Bacterial small subunit ribosomal RNA", at positions 57 to 1153 of the family's 1533-position model. The record is from RNAcentral.
GCAGUCGACGAGUUCUCGUUGAUGAUCGGUGCUUGCACCGAGAUUCAACAUGGAACGAGUGGCGGACGGGUGAGUAACACGUGGGUAACCUGCCCUUAAGUGGGGGAUAACAUUUGGAAACAGAUGCUAAUACCGCAUAGAUCCAAGAACCGCAUGGUUCUUGGCUGAAAGAUGGCGUAAGCUAUCGCUUUUGGAUGGACCCGCGGCGUAUUAGCUAGUUGGUGAGGUAAUGGCUCACCAAGGCGAUGAUACGUAGCCGAACUGAGAGGUUGAUCGGCCACAUUGGGACUGAGACACGGCCCAAACUCCUACGGGAGGCAGCAGUAGGGAAUCUUCCACAAUGGACGCAAGUCUGAUGGAGCAACGCCGCGUGAGUGAAGAAGGCUUUCGGGUCGUAAAACUCUGUUGUUGGAGAAGAAUGGUCGGCAGAGUAACUGUUGUCGGCGUGACGGUAUCCAACCAGAAAGCCACGGCUAACUACGUGCCAGCAGCCGCGGUAAUACGUAGGUGGCAAGCGUUAUCCGGAUUUAUUGGGCGUAAAGCGAGCGCAGGCGGUUUUUUAAGUCUGAUGUGAAAGCCCUCGGCUUAACCGAGGAAGCGCAUCGGAAACUGGGAAACUUGAGUGCAGAAGAGGACAGUGGAACUCCAUGUGUAGCGGUGAAAUGCGUAGAUAUAUGGAAGAACACCAGUGGCGAAGGCGGCUGUCUGGUCUGUAACUGACGCUGAGGCUCGAAAGCAUGGGUAGCGAACAGGAUUAGAUACCCUGGUAGUCCAUGCCGUAAACGAUGAAUGCUAGGUGUUGGAGGGUUUCCGCCCUUCAGUGCCGCAGCUAACGCAUUAAGCAUUCCGCCUGGGGAGUACGACCGCAAGGUUGAAACUCAAAGGAAUUGACGGGGGCCCGCACAAGCGGUGGAGCAUGUGGUUUAAUUCGAAGCAACGCGAAGAACCUUACCAGUCUUGACAUCUUUUGAUCACCUGAGAGAUCAGGUUUCCCCUUCGGGGGCAAAAUGACAGGUGGUGCAUGGUUGUCGUCAGCUCGUGUCGUGAGAUGUUGGGUUAAGUCCCGCAACGAGCGCAACCCUUAUGACUAGUUGCCAGCAUUUAGUUGGGCACUCUAGUAAGACUGCC